UAAAUUCCAUCUCUUUUGUCAGGACUGAAUUAUGCUUGUAGUAAAAAAAAAUCAGAGAAAAGGUUAUAUUUUUUUAUUGUGUAAUUUGUCUGAAAGUAAGUAAAAAUGUAACUUUUUGUUAACAACUUUGUAAAGAACUAUCUUUUUUACCUUAUAUUUACAUACAAUAAUAACUGGCUUACAUUUAUAUUACAUUUAAAAAUACCAUCGACAAUUUAUUAUCUGGUAAUAGAUCAACAUUGCUAUAGUACUCAUUACCUAUUUUUCUCACAGAAUUAAACAGAUAUUUAUUUAGUAACAUAUUAUCCUUCACAAAUGAACAUAUGUCAACAACUAUAAAUAUUUGUGAAAGAAAUUCAAAGUAAUAACUUUAGAAAAGAAAUUGUUAAGAGGGUGUCCAUGGAAAAACCAGGCAGUGGAUGGCACAUGACAUAUUUUGUUUUCAAAUUUUUUCAUCUAUUUCAUAUCACAAAUUCAUUCUUUCUCAAAGUUAAAUUGUGUUUUUUAUAUUAACUGCAACAAAUAAUGAGAACAAAAAUACAUAGAAAGCACUGAAAAUUCAUUAAAAAGGGGAGAUAACUCUUCAUUUUGUACAAAAUUUUGUUGCAUUGAUAGUGAACUUUAAAAUCAUUUUCUGAGCCAUUCACUGGGAUUCAAAAAUUUUGACAUAUAUAUCCUUUGUAUGAUAUAAACAUUGCAUUGGAACCAAAAAUUCAGUGGGAAAAAAAUUAUGUUGUGCCCCCAUAUCAUAGGAUUUGCCUGAUAUUUACUUGGACAUCCUCUUAAAUGUAUAAUGCAUAGUUAAUACAAAAGUUAUGGGAAAAGGUAAAUACCUUUACUUGCUUUUGUAAAGAUUGGAUAAUACAUAACAAUAUGCUAUGGAAAAUUAAAAAAUACAUGAGGAAAGACUAUUCUUACUCAUUCAAGCUUAUCCCUUGUAACAAAUUGCCACAAUCAUUCACAUGUUCUUAUCUAUAACUUUCAAUAGCAUUUUCAAAUAAUGCGCAAAUCAAAGUUAAAUUGAUUCUUUAUUCUUUUUUUUCCUAUACAUUCAAACUUAACGCUUGUUUUAAAAAAUUCAGGUCAGAAGAUUCCAAAUUACGCUUACAACAAAAAGUAUUUCAAAUUUAAGGAAUUUCCUAUUCAAUAAAUCUUCAAUGAACAAUUUAAAUAUAUGCAGCAUUGCUUUAAUUUUUCAGUCGAAAAAAACAUUAAUCUCCUUAUUUUCUUUGAAUUGUAAUAUGUAAAGAAAUGUAGGAAAAUUCUAGCAUUGAAAUCAGAAAAACACUUUAUAACACCAAACUUCUCAAGUACUCUAAAAGCAGUCACUAUGUAGGAAAAAAUAUUAACCAUAAAAAUAAUAAACAUUUAAAGGAGGUAAACAGAAUUUGACACAUGAAGGUAGUAGCCCUAAAAUACAUUGCACAAAAUAAUAUGUGUAUAUUGAUAACAACUUUAUGUACAAGAAUACUGAAUAUAUAAUCAACAAGCAUAGAAUAUAAUUUGACAGAGCCUUGUUUUAUAGAUUUUAAAUCCUAAAACAAAGAUCCCAAAUAAAAACUAAAAUUACAACAGAAGGAUCUUUUUCUUUCAUAAGCUCAUGAAAAUCAUCAUGAACAACUUUAUUUACAUGAAUACUGACUAUAUCAUCAACAAGCGUAGAAUAUAAUUUCGAAAGGGCCUUGCAUUAGAGGUUUUGGGCCCUAAAACAAGAACCUAGUAAACAAGGUCUAGUGAAACAGGACAAAAAUCACAAUUGGUUUGGUAAUUUCAUAGAAAAAUAUAAAUGUUAAGGAAGAAUUUGAAGAUGGGCCACAAAAAAAUCAUUAUUUACCAUUAAGAUGAGCUAGUUUUUAAUUCAUCAUAUUAAUCAUGAUAAAAACACCUGGAUAUAAUACUUGAGUUGUCUUUAGAAUUUAUUCUUUCAUUUUUAGAGAACCCCUUUUAUGCUUUGGCACUAUGUCCUGUUCCUAACCCUGUUAAAAACAUAUAUGUGUAUAAGUAAACAUCUAAUUAUAUAUAAAUAAGUUCAACAAUAACAACAGAACAGGGGAAAACAUGCUUUAGGCCACAACAAUUUCAUUUCUAGUUUUUAAGACUACUCAUAAAAAAGUAUCAAAGUUCUAACAAAGCAUGCACCAGAACGAUUGUUCACUUUCAUAAGUUCAAGCCGAUAAUUAAUUUUAAUUAACAAUAUCCAUAUUUCUUAUUGAACUUAAAAUUUCUCUUCUUGGUCUCUUUUUCGAACAUAUUGAUUAAUUGUCACAAUUUUUGUAUUAAUACAUUUCAAUUCUAUUUAUUAUUAUAUCUAUCAAAACUUUGAAUAUGUAUUUUUUUAACAUGCCUUUCACAGAAGAUGCU
Molecule: long non-coding RNA, 2361 nt
Filed under: Mytilus galloprovincialis (Mediterranean mussel)
Lineage: Eukaryota; Metazoa; Mollusca; Bivalvia; Mytilida; Mytilidae
Source: RNAcentral